RNAcentral lists this ribosomal RNA (517 nucleotides) under uncultured Staphylococcus sp. RNAcentral describes it as "bacterial SSU rRNA". It matches the Rfam family "Bacterial small subunit ribosomal RNA", at positions 8 to 507 of the family's 1533-position model. Lineage: Bacteria; Bacillati; Bacillota; Bacilli; Caryophanales; Staphylococcaceae. The record is from RNAcentral.
AGAGUUUGAUCCUGGCUCAGGAUGAACGCUGGCGGCGUGCCUAAUACAUGCAAGUCGAGCGAACAGAUAAGGAGCUUGCUCCUUUGAAGUUAGCGGCGGACGGGUGAGUAACACGUGGGUAACCUACCUAUAAGACUGGGAUAACUUCGGGAAACCGGAGCUAAUACCGGAUAACAUUUAGAACCGCAUGGUUCUAAAGUGAAAGAUGGUUUUGCUAUCACUUAUAGAUGGACCCGCGCCGUAUUAGCUAGUUGGUAAGGUAACGGCUUACCAAGGCGACGAUACGUAGCCGACCUGAGAGGGUGAUCGGCCACACUGGAACUGAGACACGGUCCAGACUCCUACGGGAGGCAGCAGUAGGGAAUCUUCCGCAAUGGGCGAAAGCCUGACGGAGCAACGCCGCGUGAGUGAUGAAGGGUUUCGGCUCGUAAAACUCUGUUAUUAGGGAAGAACAAAUGUGUAAGUAACUGUGCACAUCUUGACGGUACCUAAUCAGAAAGCCGCGGCUAACUACGUG